GAUGAACGCUGGCGGCGUGCUUAACACAUGCAAGUCGAACGAAGAUGCCGGAGUGCUUGCACUUUGGCAGACUGAGUGGCGGACGGGUGAGUAACGCGUGGGUAACCUGCCUUAUACAGGGGGAUAACAGUUGGAAACGACUGCUAAUACCGCAUAAGCGCACGGUAUCGCAUGAUACAGUGUGAAAAACUCCGGUGGUAUAAGAUGGACCCGCGUCUGAUUAGCUUGUUGGUGAGGUAACGGCCCACCAAGGCGACGAUCAGUAGCCGGCCUGAGAGGGUGAACGGCCACAUUGGGACUGAGACACGGCCCAAACUCCUACGGGAGGCAGCAGUGGGGAAUAUUGCACAAUGGGGGAAACCCUGAUGCAGCAACGCCGCGUGAGUGAAGAAGUAUUUCGGUAUGUAAAGCUCUAUCAGCAGGGAAGAAAAUGACGGUACCUGACUAAGAAGCCCCGGCUAACUACGUG
RNAcentral lists this ribosomal RNA (469 nucleotides) under uncultured bacterium. Its description in RNAcentral is "bacterial SSU rRNA". It matches the Rfam family "Bacterial small subunit ribosomal RNA", at positions 28 to 507 of the family's 1533-position model. The record is from RNAcentral.